Molecule: ribosomal RNA, 291 nt
Filed under: Pleurotus citrinopileatus
Lineage: Eukaryota; Fungi; Basidiomycota; Agaricomycetes; Agaricales; Pleurotaceae
Description: partial small subunit ribosomal RNA
Source: RNAcentral
CCGUGAUGAACUAACCGUCUGUCGCUGGGAAGAAGCUUAACUUGGGGGAAACUGCCACGAAAAUAAAACUUUAACUUAAUUAUGCCUUUCUUUAAUAAUAACAAUUAUUUUAGAAAAUUAAAUUAUUUAAUUUUUGGUUAGAAAAGAAUUACAUAUUCUUGUAUUUAGUAUAAGAAGUAGUAAUAAAGAAUUAGAAUAAAUUAUUGUCAAGUAUUAUAUUAUGUUAUUGUAGUACUUUCCAUUUAAGUCAAGAUCUCUAUAAAAGUCCUAGCAAGGUAGAUUGUACUGGAA